CGCCCUUCGGGGUGCAGCAGGCGCGAAAACUUUGCAAUACACGAAAGUGUGACAGGGCUAUCCCGAGUGCCAUCCGCUGAGGAAGGCUUUUACCCAGUCUAGAACGCUGGGGGAAUAAGGAGAGGGCAAGUCUGGUGUCAGCCGCCGCGGUAAUACCAGCUCUCCGAGUGGUGUGGAUGUUUAUUGGGCCUAAAGCAUCCGUAGCUGGCUAAGUUAGUCCCUUGUUAAAUCCACCGAAUUAAUCGUUGGAUUGCGGGGGAUACUGCUUGGCUAGGGGACGAGAGAGGCAGACGGUAUUUCCGGGGUAGGGGUGAAAUCCUAUAAUCCCGGGAAGACCACCAGUGGCGAAGGCUGUCUGCUAGAACGCGCCCGACGGUGAGGGAUGAAAGCUGGGGGAGCGAACCGGAUUAGAUACCCGGGUAGUCCCAGCUGUAAACGAUGCAGGCUAGGUGUUUGGACGGCCACGUGCCGUUCUAGUGCCGCAGGGAAGCUGUUAAGCCUGCCGCCUGGGGAGUACGAUCGCAAGAUUGAAACUUAAAGGAAUUGGCGGGGGAGCAC
RNAcentral lists this ribosomal RNA (558 nucleotides) under uncultured archaeon. RNAcentral's name for it is "bacterial SSU rRNA". It matches the Rfam family "Archaeal small subunit ribosomal RNA", at positions 319 to 879 of the family's 1478-position model. The record is from RNAcentral.